RNAcentral lists this transfer RNA (72 nucleotides) under Capsaspora owczarzaki. RNAcentral describes it as "tRNA-Arg". It matches the Rfam family "tRNA". Rfam says of the family: Transfer RNA (tRNA) molecules are approximately 80 nucleotides in length. Their secondary structure includes four short double-helical elements and three loops (D, anti-codon, and T loops). The record is from RNAcentral. Lineage: Eukaryota; Filasterea; Ministeriida; Capsasporidae.
GUUUCUGUAGCUUAAAUGGUAAAGCAGUUGUCUUCUAAACAACCUAUAUAAGUUCAAGUCUUGUCAGAGAUU